GAGUGUUCUUCUCCUCCAGGUGUGCCAGGCAAGGGUGGAGAGCAUCAGUGAUGGCAUCCUCAGUGGAGCGGAUGCAUCGGCAGGCAAACUAGAAUGGGUCGAAUGUUGGCGGCAUCAAUGAUGCUGAUCCUCUUCUCUCCUGGAUCUCUGGUACUGAUUCAGUAACAAGCAACGAAGUUCUGCUCGGACUGCACACCAUCUUCUGGGCACAGACUGGACUUUGGCAGAGACUCCAGUGAGCCUGCCAAAGCAGAUGAGUAGCUGCACACUUUGUCCUGGGAUAGUGUAC
Molecule: long non-coding RNA, 289 nt
Organism: Cyprinodon tularosa
Lineage: Eukaryota; Metazoa; Chordata; Actinopteri; Cyprinodontiformes; Cyprinodontidae
Exons: 3
Source: RefSeq, a predicted model, not a curated record